Triticum aestivum (bread wheat) is the source of this 4691-nucleotide long non-coding RNA. RefSeq lists it as uncharacterized. Lineage: Eukaryota; Viridiplantae; Streptophyta; Magnoliopsida; Poales; Poaceae. The record is from RefSeq and is a predicted model, not a curated record. The transcript is spliced from 13 exons.
UGUUGGGGGCGCGGCUGGAGAUGCCCUAACCCGCGUUCUCGCGAGCCCCCUUGCCGCCGCCAUCCCUCCCCUCUGCACCGUGCCGGAUCCGCCUGCCGCCGCCGCCAGCGCUCUCCUCUGCCUUCGUCAUGGAGAAUGCCGUCCAGCAGCACGGCGGACCCGCAUCUCCUCGCGCCCCCCUUGGCGCCGCCGUCACCCCUCUCCUCUGCCCCGUGCCGGAUCCGAGGCGUGCGGGCGCGAGCUUCUCCGGCGGCGGCCGCCUCCCUCUCGGCUCCUCUGCUCCUGCGCCGCCUCUCCCACCGCCUCCGUGCUCGACAGGAGGAGACGGGGUCGCAGCCGCACCGCACGACGGUGGGCGAUGGUGAGCUGCACCGCACCAGGUGGGCUAGGGCGAGCUCCAGUGCGAGCGCGCGCAACCGUCGCCCACGCCGGCGGGGUCCCCGACCCCGAGCAACAGGAACACACGGCUGGAUCUCCUCCUUCUCCGUCCACGCGUGUGCAACAACAACUGGCAGCCGCACAGGUCCGACCUCGGCCGCCCACGUCGAUGGAGACAAGGGAGCAGCUCGGCUGCAUGCCGGUAGUGACGGACAGCCGGGCGCAGGCCACCUCUCCCCAUACGUUGAGACAUCACCAUUCUUGUCCGCUGCCCAACUCCGUCGCGGCUCAGGCCUAGAAGGCGACAGCGGCGCCGCGAGGACUCGCUGCAAAGAAGCCUUGGGAGGAGGUCCCCGACUCGGAUGGCGGCUGCUGAAAGGUCACGCACUUCUUCGGCCCGCAGACCGGCUCAGCUUACGUCUUAUCCAAGUGAAGGAGCUGGUUUUGCGGCAUCUGUUGAACUUAGUCAAAUUAGGUGUGUUGUGUAUGUACCUUGGAGCUGAAAAUGUAACAUUAGCUCUAGAACUGGUUGCCUAUACUGAAGAAAUACAGAUACAUAUAUAGACUGAGGCUUGUGUCUCCUGGGUGUAGCUCUCAUCACCAUAACAAAGGUUCGAGGGUGUAAAUCUACCUGAUAUAUUGUUGACGGGGAUUGAGUAUUGUAGUGAUAUAUCUGAGAAUUUUAAUGAUCUAUCUGCUACCAGACAAUGAAGGAGAUGGACAAACAUAUAGCUCUAUGGUGAGGGUUGCAUGGAGUACGAAGGCUUGUAUGCUGCAAGAGAUUUAGACACCCAGUUGCUGAUCUUCAGCCCCUUGAUGUUGGUUUACCAAUCUGCAUUCCACACUCUUCAAAGGUUCCGAGGAAGGUGAGUUUUGUGCCUCUAUCAGCCAUUUUUGAACCAGAUAUGCAGCAGCAAGGGAGUAGCCCUAUCACUCUCGAUCAAAACCUCAAAGGGCGAAGGGAGAACGCAACAACAUUCUUCUAUGAUAGUUAAUGUUGUCCCACCUAUACGUUUUAUUAAGGCAUGAUAGGUGCCUCUAUCAGCCAUUUUCUACCAUGUACGGCUGAUACAUGUUAACUGCCAGUUUGUACAGCAGCAGCAGGUCAUCCACUUCUACCCAAGUUGCCAUGGAAAAUCUAAUGGGUUUACGACUAUCUCAGUUCAUAAUGGUGUGAGCUUUGUAGGAGUGGGAUAUCAUAUACAGUAUGAUAGAUAUGGAAGACAACAAGCAAAAAUUCAAUUAUGAGAUGAUCGGCUGUUUCAAUCUUUUUCUUCUGCUUACAGUCCACCAACAGGAUUGUUGAUGCCCGCAGGAGGGGGACAUCGCAGUAGAUGGGCUGAAGUAGGAGGCUGAGAGAAAUGGGAAACAACGGAUUCUAGCACAUAGUAGAUGCCUAAGAUGUCACUGAAGCGCUAUUGAGGUCACAUACACUCCAACAUCUAAAAUAAAUCCAGCAGGCAGUUUAGAGUUUUUCGGGUUGAUGAUUAUGAAUGCAGAUAGACCUAUCUAAUCCAGCUUUUGCUUGAUUUUUGUCACUGAACUUCAUAUUAGAUGUGAUAUAACUACUCAGAUUGUAUCAGCCUUCCUAUUCUUUCCCCUUUCCUAUUACUACAAGUGUAUAUGGUAAUUAUUUAUCAAAUAAUACACGGCUUUUGUUCAUCUCAUGCGCAGGUGGCGCAACGGGUGCUUUAUAAAACCAAUGUAUGCUACAAAGUAUCUAUUCAGUAUCAGUCACAUAUACAUGGUUUGAAUACUCGGCCCGCUCUCGCUUAUUUUACCAAGGAUCUUCAACAAGUAUAUCUGCAAAAGGUCAAAUUCCAUUCAAUUCAGACCCAAACAAUACUCCGCUAGGUUGAUCGCACACUACAGCAAAUUCCUUUCAAAAUAAUCUAUUCACCGUGAAGCACGCUCUCAGUUCUGAAUAUAACACACUUUUUUCUCGAUACAUAUUCGUAUUGUGCAUGUAUUGAAGUUCAUAGCCAUAUACAUUGACAUACCAUGUAUAAUUUUUUUUGCAUAUAAUGAACCAACACUUUGCUUAAAAAAAAUUAUCUCAAGUAUUUGUCCUACUUUAUGCCAUGCAAGAAAUCAAAUUAAUUGAUUGGAAUUUAUAGAUGCUUAUAAAAUAUGCAGACCUAUUGAUAAAAAAGGAAAAACAAUUUUCAAAUGCUCCUAUUUUCCCCCCUUCUUCCACACAACAAACUCCAUGGAGAUUGGCCUUUGCAAUGCAGCGCUCUUGCUUACGUCUUUAUAAUAAUCACAUUCUUAUUUUCCUUUAUUAUAGCAAAUUCUUGAUCAUAUAUGUUGCUCUACACCACCAUAUAGCUACUUGAUUAUGCUAUACAAUUUUUUUUGCCAGUAAUAAAAUAUUUUAAAAAACAUCUUUGUACCACGCCUGCGCGUCAGCCAAAAAAAGUUACUUUUUUUAACAAACAUGAUAACGUAAUUCUCCUUUUUGAAGACGUAAAAGAACGCUCUCCAUCAACAAAAAAAAUAUCUGCAAAAUAGAGCGUGCUGCAUCCUGCUUAAUACAAUACCUUUGAAAAUUUCAACGGCCCAUGAUCAGCCCAUAGAAAUCUUUGCCUGGCCCUUUUUAGAAGAAGACCGCGGCUCCCAUUGAACUCAGCCGCUACAGAUUCCUUAUCCAGAUCCACCGCCGGACCGUCUCCCCACCCACAUCGACAGCGACCGCCCUGGCAUCGGCCUGCUGCUGGAACCAUGGCCAAGAAGCCGCUGCCAGGUAACAGUGCUGGGCGUCGUUACAGCGCGCCACCGACGUAUUCACUCGCGGCGCGCCUGGCUCAAGGGCUCCCCAACGAACAGGCCGCCUCUUCCCUUGUGGAUAGGCGCUCCAAUUGCCAGAUUUACAAGGUAAGCUCCAACAACUGCAUUAGAUUUGUACAGACUAGCCAAGAUUUCUCUUAGAGAAUCAAUAAGGAAGCGAAUCAAUUUAUGUAAUCCUUAUAUAGCCUUUUUAUGAGCGAUAAUCUAACACUUACAAGAUCAUCUUAGGAUUUCCUAAUGAAUCCUGUACAAAUUCCACCAAGGAUUCUUUUAGAUGCUACUGAAAGGCACUAUAGCUCCCAAAAUCUGUGUAGAACACCCAGCGUACCAGCCUACAGGAAACGUUGGUAUAGAGACUGACUGAGUUUUAUCAACCUCUGCAGCAUUUACCAGAGAGCACUGUCAAGCGAUUUAUUUUUCAGUCUGAGUCAUCUUGCUACUUAUCCAGGUUUAUUUACAUAUGAAAUCACCAUAAUUUUUGCCAUGGCUCUGGUUCUUGAUAUGGUGCUUAAAAGCACUAUCCCAUCCUGAUUACUCCCGUACAGUUUUUUGUUUCACUAAAGAUCGUCUUUGAGAACUGGACAAUCUUCGAGUCCAUGAAGAGUACUUGCACGGUCAAGCACCAUGAGAUCUUCAUCCGCAACGCCGAGUGCGUUGUGCUCUUCACAAACCUUGAAGAUGAGGCCAAAGAGAAGGACGUCGAGUCUGCCGCCUACUGGGUUCGAUGGGAUGCCACCGAUUUCACCCACCGCCAAUGACGACGAGGCCGGUGGCUCUCCCAUUGAACGAUGUACUUCACCUCUCACAUGAAGAAAUAAGCUUUUUGAGGACUAGGAUUGUUUAUGAAAUAUAAUGAGCAUCUUUUACCACUAAUGGCCUGUGAAGUCUCACCGUAUUAAGACACAUGCAUCACUGUUAAUCAGCUUAAUUAUUCUACUAGAUGACAGCUAUUAAACAAGAGGAGGUGCACAGAGCCAUUGAUACCAGCGGUGGCCAAAUUACCCAUGACGAACCACGGUGUCGGAAGCACAAUAAGCCAUACGAGCAUAUUCAUUGCUCACGCAAAGCAAGCUCAACCCAAAAGUUCAAAGGCAAGAAAGUCCAUGUAAAGCCUGGAAAGUACAUUCUCCGUGCUAACGCUGGCAUGGCCCGCUUUAUCAAGGGUGUUGAGAAAAGAGCCACCAUCACUAAAGGCUGGAGCGACUUCUUCCGUUAGGCACACAUGAACGAAGGGCAAACAUAUGCUUUCACCUUCAAAUACACUUCCAAGGGACUGCGCUUGAUCAUCUACCCAAUAUAAGCAGGUUGCAAGAGCCCCUUGUUAUAUAACUUAGUAUUAGUAUAGAUGCCUAUCAAGACUUCUAUGUUUAUCAUCCUUUUGGAUCUUAUGUAAACCCCUAAGACCAAUCAUGUGCAUUUAGCUAUCGGUUAUUUGCUGCUUAAACUACUGUGUGGUGUGAUUUUGAAAAAACUAUGAUAAAAGAAAUAUACGCUUUCGCCUUCAAGUGCACAUCCAAAGGCCUUUG